This 290-nucleotide ribosomal RNA is filed under the name uncultured bacterium. RNAcentral describes it as "partial 16S ribosomal RNA". It matches the Rfam family "Bacterial small subunit ribosomal RNA", at positions 66 to 358 of the family's 1533-position model. The record is from RNAcentral.
ACGGCAGCACGGGAGCAAUCCUGGUGGCGAGUGGCGAACGGUAGCGUAAAGUAUCGGAACGUGCCCAGUCGUGGGGGAUAACGUAGCGAAAGUUACGCUAAUACCGCAUACGAUCUAUGGAUGAAAGCGGGGGAUCGCAAGACCUCGCGCGAUUGGAGCGGCCGAUAUCAGAUUAGGUAGUUGGUGGGGUAAAGGCCCACCAAGCCUACGAUCUGUAGCUGGUCUGAGAGGAUGAUCAGCCACACUGGGACUGAGACACGGCCCAGACUCCUACGGGAGGCAGCAGUGGG